RNAcentral lists this long non-coding RNA (4578 nucleotides) under Daucus carota (carrot). RNAcentral describes it as "long non-coding RNA (DCAR_LNC001016)". The record is from RNAcentral. Lineage: Eukaryota; Viridiplantae; Streptophyta; Magnoliopsida; Apiales; Apiaceae.
AACCCUAAUAUAUAUAAGAGUUUUCUUAAUUUACAAGAAAAUAAAAUAAUAUCCUAAAACAGGUUGGAUUCUGAUGCUGAAAUUCGUAGGCUUCUGUUCAGGCCUGAUUCUGGGUUGAUCCAGUUGGAUUUUGACAUCUGGACCACCUUAAACUUGUAGAGAAUUUCAAUAUCUUCGCGUGGGCUGUUGAAUCGCCCAAUUCUGACGUCCAGAACUCAAGUUACGGCCCAAACAAGAUUUGAUUCGCUGGCUAACCAUAAAGUCCGAAUUUUCAUCUGAUUAAGCCCAAAUAAGCUUGAUUUAAUCCAACUUUAGGAAUAUUUAUUUUCCUGAAAUUAAACACUUAAAAUCAAUUAGUAACAUCCCGAUUAUUUACAAAAUACUAAAAAUUAUGGGAAUAAAAUCAUAUAAAAACAUAUAUAAAUAUAUGCUCUAUCAAUUAUCCCCACACUUAGUCUUUUGCACGUCCUCGGGCAAAUAAAAUAAAUAACACUAACACCUAAUAGAUAUAUACCACUUCCGUAGGUGAUCACGGUUGCAUUUGGCAUAUGCAACAAGCCCUUUAAACCCCUAGGCAGCCCUAGUGGACGAGUAAGGUCUCGUGAGGGCCUAUAGCGAAUGUACCCACAAAAUCCAUCUAGCUCAUGUAAUAAUAAUAUAGAUGACCACAAGAACACAAGCAUGGAGUGCAACUACAUGAAUGCAACUAAUAAAUGUAAAUGUAUUGAUCCCAAUAAUAAUAGUAUAUUCCAAGUUAGUGAUAACCAUCAGAAUAUGCAACAAGUUUAGACACAUCAAGCUCACACCGCAAUAAAACCACUUAGUGAACACAAGUACAGAGUGUGCGUGUGUGCCUAGCUUAACAACAUGCUCUUCUUUGAAUCAAGAACAGAGACACACAAGUUUCAACAUGACUAGUCAUGCGAGUUAAUAGCUCCCAACUUGAUUACUAGAAUAGAUCUUAAACACUUCGUUACUUAGAACCAGCUAUCAUUCAAGUUUACAAGGGAUUUCUAUGUCUUCUUUUUAUUUCUAUAAUACUACUAUAUAUAAUUUUUUAUUCUUUUUUUUUUUACAUGCUUGGUCUAAGGUUGGGACGCUCCUUAGUAUAAGUAAGUUACGACCACCAAAAGACUUCACAAGCUCUUUUUUUUUUCUUUUUUUUAAGUCAAGUAAUUCUCCAGUAAUCAAGGAUAAUGAAAAGUCACCAAGAAAAUUAUAUUUCUAGUACAAUUGCACUUAAUACCAGCACAAGUACAUGGGUCGUCCCUUUCAUUUUCGCCACCCAUUGAUCUCAAAGGAGUGCUUGAUACUUUAUUUCUUAUUUCUUUUUUUUUUUGAAGAAAACAUUUACACCCCACAAUCACCUCAAACUCAAGCAUUUACGUACUAAGCUCAAAAGGGAAUAGUCAAAAUUCUAAUCAUCAACAAGCGGCUACCCCUCAAGAAGCAAGUAUAUCUAAGUCUCAAUUCAAUAUUUAAGAGCAAAAUAAGCUUGUGUCAAUAAAUAAGCUCUGCACUAGUGACACUACACAUGUAACAUCGCUAAUAUGUGAUCAUAGCAAAAAUCAAUCAAAAACAAGCUACACAUAGUAUCAUCAUAGGUUACUAACUUGGACUAUUACAUGGGAUCAUGCUAUGUUAUGUCAUGCAAUGAAACUAACAUGUAAUGCAAUUAUAUGAACUAAUGUAUGCAAUGUAUGAGUGUUUAUCCUAGCAUGAUAUGAUCAUCUAACUAUUUUACAAGGCUAGAAUUAUUUUUGAUUUUUAAAUUUAUAAUUUUGUUUGUCUUUUUUUUUUUAAUAUUAUAACAUACUAUUGAGAACACAUCCCCACACUUAAAUGAGUCAAUGUCCUCAAUGACACACUAAUACUCCUCCUAUAAAUAAAAGAAAAGUAAGAAUACUCCCCUAUGCAUACGCAUGAAGUGCCGUUUGAAAAAUAAGCGAAGUGUGUUGCCUCUAAGUCGAUGCACCGCGGGCACCUUAACCAUGCCCAUGGUGCAAAUCAUUCUGCCCGGACUUCAUAAACUGACCUUCUGGACCUUAAAAUCCGAUCUCCACCGUUCAGAAUUUAGAUAUUAGUGUAAGGAAGAUGCUGUCCAAAAUUCAGGACGAUCCGACCGUUGGAACUCCGGGAAACGCAAAAACAAGGCAGCUGAUGCAACCAGAAAAAUGCUGCGAAUUUUUGAUUUUUAGCACCUGAAACAGCCACUUCAAACAAACACAUCAAGGUAACUUGUGGGAGUAAAAAAAAUCAAAAUAUACUUAAUAUAAUAAUCAUGGGUUGCCUCCCAAGAAGCGCUUGUUUAUUGUCAUUAGCUCGACUUAUUCACAUACAAGUAACAAAACUAAUGAGGUGAAAAAGCAAAUAAGUGCACAUAUCUGCGAAUCUGUAUUGCAAUCAUAAUGUGCAAAUAAACCUUUGAUUCAUUAAAUUUUAAGAAAAAUUUUAUGAACCUCACAUGCUCAAGAGACCUGAAAGAAUCAAAGUAGCUAGAAAAGUCGUCAGAAUAAUCAUCAUAAAUAUGACUCAUAAACUCCUCCCAAAUUGGAUCCUUAUAAUCUAAAGCAAAAUCAUCAAUUAGCACAUCCUUCUCAAUUAGAAUUGCAUACUCAUCAAUUUCUAUCUCGUCUACCAAUUCAUUAAGCACGACAUUAUCAACAAAAUCUGGUAGAACUUCAGUUGCAUCCAAUUUGUCAUUAUUAAGCGCGGGACAAUUAUCAUCUAAGCAAGUAGAUUCAUUAGACACAGAUUUUUCAUGAAUUGCUAAAUAAGUAUCAUGACAAAGUGGAAAAUCGACACAAGGAGAAAUCCUAAAACAACCAUUAUGCAUCACAAGUUGAACUUCCAUAAUAAAAGUAUUUCUUUUAGCAUUCUCCUCGUACCAACUUAUCGAAUCUUGACAUAUUAUAUCAGUCAUAUUAGCAAGUUCAAAUUUUGGUUCAUCAAUAUGGUCAAAAAGUCCCAAAGAUAUUAAAGAAGGAUUAUAUUGAAUUAAGCUUUUAUCAACAUCAUAACAUGGAUAAGGAUCAUAACAUUGAUUUUCAGAUGCAUAUGAAAAAUCAGUGUUAGGUGGGUAUGGAGGAUAAUAUGAGUUGCAACAAUCAAACGAGUUCACCUGAUACGCAUUAAAAUUCUGAAAAGAAUUAUAAUCUUGAUAUCGUUCUUGAUCAUUGUGAAAAUUCUGAGCGUUAUUCCAACCAAAAUUGUAAUCCAUGUCGUCUUUUUAUCUCACAACUUUUUGGUGUCAACCUCAAAGAACCUGUAGACACACCAAAAACAACAAAAGAAGGGGAAAAAAUAAUAAUAUACAACAAUAAAAUCAAAACCACAAGAAAUAAUUAACCUAAAAUCAGUAUUGCUGCCUUCCCCGGCAGCGGCGCCAAUUUGUUGUCGAGUAUUUCUAUGAGUAUCGUUCGCAGGGAAGGACUGAUAUUAAUACCAAUUUAAAAUCUUUUAUCUCUUGCAAUUCAGAAGUGUGGAGAAUAUAUUGAUGGUUUUUAUCUAUCAACUAAUUAAUAUAAUAAAAAAAUAAAUAUAAUAAAUAUGAGAGAAAGCAACCCAAGAAUUAGAGUUCUUCAAUGGCUAUCAUGAAUGUCUAAUUUGUGUCUCUUGUUUGCUAAAAACAAUCCUUCUAAUAUUAAUAAACUCCUCUCCCAAGGUAGAUUAUAAUGCUUACAAUUAUCCAUUAAAAGCCACUCCCAUGGUCAAUCAAAGAACACUUGUAAACUAUUAAGAACCAAGGAUUUUAAGUCUCACAAUUCUCAUAUCAAUCUCCCGAUCUAAUACUCAAAUUGUGUCCAUCAUAUCAUGUACUAGAAUUAUAACUCCUCUCCCGAUUCGUUAUAACUCCUCAAGAUUCAAUUAAAAGUUAGCUACUCUUCUAAUUGUAUAAAGCGCUCAAUGACAGAUUAACAAAUCAAGAGAAAACACAAUCCAACUAAACAAACAUAAUAAGCCAAAGAAUACUACCUAACUCAUGGAUCAAAGGAUUAGCUACUCAUGAAUAGAUGAAACAAAUAUAUAUUUAUACCACAGACCAUGAGUGUAAGAAUAUAAGUACGAAGAAUACAACUUGACGAAAGUGCUUGAAAUCCUGAUGAAUCGCUUCACUCCUUCUUUCAAUCUCUCUCACAAGUGUCUCUCUCCCUUUUCUCUCUAAAAAAGCUAUCUCUAUAUUAUUCUAUAUGAUACAAAGUUAGUUGUUUCUAAUAUCUAUCAAACCCUAAUAUAUAUAAGAGUUUUCUUAAUUUACAAGAAAAUAAAAUAAUAUCCUAAAACAGGUUGGAUUCUGAUGCUGAAAUUCGUAGGCUUCUGUUCAGGCCUGAUUCUGGGUUGAUCCAGUUGGAUUUUGACAUCUGGACCACCUUAAACUUGUAGAGAAUUUCAAUAUCUUCGCGUGGGCUGUUGAAUCGCCCAAUUCUGACGUCCAGAACUCAAGUUACGGCCCAAACAAGAUUUGAUUCGCUGGCUAACCAUAAAGUCCGAAUUUUCAUCUGAUUAAGCCCAAAUAAGCUUGAUUUAAUCCAACUUUAGGAAUAUUUAUUUUCCUGAAAUUAAACACUUAAAAUCAAU